CGGCCUGCGCGGAAGAUGUAACGGGGCUAAACCAUGCACCGAAGCUGCGGCAGCGACACUGUGUGUUGUUGGGUAGGGGAGCGUUCUGUAAGCCUGUGAAGGUGGCCUGUGAGGGUUGCUGGAGGUAUCAGAAGUGCGAAUGCUGACAUAAGUAACGAUAAAGCGGGUGAAAAGCCCGCUCGCCGGAAGACCAAGGGUUCCUGUCCAACGUUAAUCGGGGCAGGGUGAGUCGACCCCUAAGGCGAGGCCGAAAGGCGUAGUCGAUGGGAAACGGGUUAAUAUUCCCGUACUUGGUGUUACUGCGAAGGGGGGACGGAGAAGGCUAUGUUGGCCGGGCGACGGUUGUCCCGGUUUAAGCGUGUAGGUGUGUGUUCCAGGUAAAUCCGGUUCACUUUAACACUGAGGCGUGACGACGAGGCACUACGGUGCUGAAGCAACAAAUGCCCUGCUUCCAGGAAAAGCCUCUAAGCAUCAGGUAACAUCAAAUCGUACCCCAAACCGACACAGGUGGUCAGGUAGAGAAUACCAAGGCGCUUGAGAGAACUCGGGUGAAGGAACUAGGCAAAAUGGUGCCGUAACUUCGGGAGAAGGCACGCUGACACGUAGGUGAAGUGAUUUACUCACGGAGCUGAAGUCAGUCGAAGAUACCAGCUGGCUGCAACUGUUUAUUAAAAACACAGCACUGUGCAAACACGAAAGUGGACGUAUACGGUGUGACGCCUGCCCGGUGCCGGAAGGUUAAUUGAUGGGGUCAGCGCAAGCGAAGCUCCUGAUCGAAGCCCCGGUAAACGGCGGCCGUAACUAUAACGGUCCUAAGGUAGCGAAAUUCCUUGUCGGGUAAGUUCCGACCUGCACGAAUGGCGUAAUGAUGGCCAGGCUGUCUCCACCCGAGACUCAGUGAAAUUGAACUCGCUGUGAAGAUGCAGUGUACCCGCGGCAAGACGGAAAGACCCCGUGAACCUUUACUAUAGCUUGACACUGAACAUUGAGCCUUGAUGUGUAGGAUAGGUGGGAGGCUUUGAAGCGUGGACGCCAGUCUGCGUGGAGCCGACCUUGAAAUACCACCCUUUAAUGUUUGAUGUUCUAACGUGGACCCGUGAUCCGGGUUGCGGACAGUGUCUGGUGGGUAGUUUGACUGGGGCGGUCUCCUCCUAAAGAGUAACGGAGGAGCACGAAGGUUGGCUAAUCCUGGUCGGACAUCAGGAGGUUAGUGCAAUGGCAUAAGCCAGCUUGACUGCGAGCGUGACGGCGCGAGCAGGUGCGAAAGCAGGUCAUAGUGAUCCGGUGGUUCUGAAUGGAAGGGCCAUCGCUCAACGGAUAAAAGGUACUCCGGGGAUAACAGGCUGAUACCGCCCAAGAGUUCAUAUCGACGGCGGUGUUUGGCACCUCGAUGUCGGCUCAUCACAUCCUGGGGCUGAAGUAGGUCCCAAGGGUAUGGCUGUUCGCCAUUUAAAGUGGUACGCGAGCUGGGUUUAGAACGUCGUGAGACAGUUCGGUCCCUAUCUGCCGUGGGCGCUGGAGAACUGAGGGGGGCUGCUCCUAGUACGAGAGGACCGGAGUGGACGCAUCACUGGUGUUCGGGUUGUCAUGCCAAUGGCACUGCCCGGUAGCUAAAUGCGGAAGAGAUAAGUGCUGAAAGCAUCUAAGCACGAAACUUGCCCCGAG
RNAcentral lists this ribosomal RNA (1665 nucleotides) under Salmonella enterica. RNAcentral's name for it is "partial 23S ribosomal RNA". It matches the Rfam family "Bacterial large subunit ribosomal RNA", at positions 1155 to 2803 of the family's 2925-position model. Lineage: Bacteria; Pseudomonadati; Pseudomonadota; Gammaproteobacteria; Enterobacterales; Enterobacteriaceae. The record is from RNAcentral.